GUUAAUCCCAUGAGUCCGAAUUAUAACGGUGUAGAUUAGCUAAGAAUUACCAUAUUAAUCAAUAAAAGUGUCACCGUUUUUCUCUUCUCUACUACCUAAAAGAAAGUCGAGUAAUAGGCGCCGGCACCGGCACAAAAUUGAGCCGGUCAACGCAUACCCGUACGAUUAAAGUUCCCAGUGCCGUCAGAUCUGGUCCUCUUUUUUCCCUCCUCUGAUACAUCAUGCGGAAAACAAUACAAAAAAAAUCUCCAGCACACCCCGCCACACGCACGCAGCCCGCCAUGGCCGCCCCUGCCGCUGACUUCGAAGCCCCGCCGGCUCGCCGCCAUCGCUGCACCGGUUCUCGCCGGAUCUAGCAGAGGUCGUCGUUGCACCUAGCCGCCACCACAUAGGGACAGGGCCGUCUCGUAGCACGUCAGAUGCCUCUGUCGUUGCAGCAACUAGCCGGCUCCGUCGUAGCACGCUCAAUGCAGCAUCACCAUGCCCCGCUGGCUGCAGCCGGCCGGCAUCACGUGCUCGCGUGCGCCUGGUUGAAGAGUUAUUUUCUCGCUAGUCCAAGCUUUUUCUCACCCUCUCUGGUUGAAGCUUUUUUUUUCACGGUUGAAGCUUUUCCCAUGCCGAUUGUAGCAAAGUAAAAUCAGCAAGAAAAGCAAAACAGAAAAACUCCAGUAAUCUGUUGGAGCAAAACAAUUAGCCCGUUGUAGCAGAAAAUAAGACCGGUUCCAGCGAAAACCAAAACCUAUUCCAACAACAAAAAAUGGCGUUCCAGCAAAAAAUGCGCUGCUGCCGAUGACUGCAAACAAAAGCAAUCUUGCCGGUUCCAGCUCUUCAGAGGCUUGUUGUAGCAAAAAUAAUUGCUAAUUCCAACAAAAAGACAAAUGCAGCAAAGACACAUGUAGCCGCCGUCCGUCGCCGUCCCAGCAUAAACAUAGCCUAUGCAGCAAAUUCAAAUGCUAGUUCCUGCAAAAAUCAAAGAGGUUCCAGCAAAAAUUUGAUGUAUCAAAAAAUCAUGGCAGUGAUGGGGCAAUCAUCCUCUCAAAUUGCUGCAAACCGAGAAAGAUGGUUCCAUCAAAAAAAGAAGUGGUUCCAGCAAAAAUCAAAAGAGGUUCCAGCAAAAAGUGUUCAUCGAAAUCAAACGGGGAUGGUAGCAAAAAAAGAAAGGGUUGUAGCAAAACAAAUUGGUGGAUCCAGCAAAAAAAUUACCUGGUUCCAGCACAAACUCGUCGCCACCGUGGUCGAUUCCAGCUUGGCCAUGGGGACUAACUAACCAUGGAUGCGGCGGCCAUGGAGGCAUCCAGUUGCCGGCGGACAAGGCGACGAGCACACCUCUGCCUGCGAACGGCCAUGGAGAGGGGUGCAUCUGGCCCUUGUGUUUGCCGUCUUCCUACCCGGUGCUCGUCGCCGUCGUCUCCGGCUCCGAUGGGUUACUAGAUGCAGCGCGCGGCGCAGGAGAGCACUUCUCCUCUGGCACCGGUGGAGCUGCCGAGCCAGUGGGAUGCGCGAUGCGUUUGGAUGGAGGAGUAGAAAGGAAGAAUCGAGGUGCGGCAAGGAGAUGAUUGGGGAUUGCCGUGCAAGACGAAAGAGAUGUCUGUGGUGGGAAGACGAUGCAAGGGGAUGGGAUAAGGCUCAGCGUGAUUGAGCGGUGCGUGGGUCCCAUAUACAGUGCGUGUACGUGGGGGGCCGACCGGC
Molecule: long non-coding RNA, 1689 nt
Filed under: Triticum aestivum (bread wheat)
Lineage: Eukaryota; Viridiplantae; Streptophyta; Magnoliopsida; Poales; Poaceae
Description: long non-coding RNA (TAES_LNC008670)
Source: RNAcentral